This 433-nucleotide ribosomal RNA is filed under the name uncultured bacterium. Its description in RNAcentral is "partial 16S ribosomal RNA". It matches the Rfam family "Bacterial small subunit ribosomal RNA", at positions 29 to 507 of the family's 1533-position model. The record is from RNAcentral.
AACGAACGCUGGCGGCAUGCCUAACACAUGCAAGUCGAACGAGACCUUCGGGUCUAGUGGCGCACGGGUGCGUAACGCGUGGGAACCUGCCCGUAGGUUCGGAAUAACUCAGAGAAAUUUGAGCUAAUACCGGAUAAUGUCUUCGGACCAAAGAUCUAUCGCCUUUGGAUGGGCCCGCGUAGGAUUAGCUUGUUGGUGGGGUAAUGGCCUACCAAGGCGACGAUCCUUAGCUGGUCUGAGAGGAUGAUCAGCCACGCUGGGACUGAGACACGGCCCAGACUCCUACGGGAGGCAGCAGUAGGGAAUAUUGGACAAUGGGCGAAAGCCUGAUCCAGCAAUGCCGCGUGAGUGAUGAAGGCCUUAGGGUUGUAAAGCUCUUUUACCAGGGAUGAUAAUGACAGUACCUGGAGAAUAAGCACCGGCUAACUCCGUG